AUUUGAUUGCGUUUUCAUUGUGUGUAUUGAAAUGGUUGUCACCAGUUGCAGUCAUUCUUUCAUUUUUUACUUGGUUUCAGUUUGAUUUGGAUUUAUAUACCUUCAGACUACUCACAUGGGAUAUACUUUUUUGUGCAUUUGCUUUAUCAAUUUUUAUAUAUUCCACGACGCUAAUGCUAACAAUGAUAUUGAGCAUUUGUUACGGAGAUUCCAUAUCGAUUGCCGUAGAAGCUGCCAAUAAAAAUUUAUGUGUGUCGAUAUACAUAUUUCACACGCUGUACAAAGUGCAAGGUGACUUUGCUGAUGUGUUUCCGAGUGCUGUUCUUAUUGCUACAACUUUAAUAUUCAUCACUCAUUUUAUUUGGAAUUGUAUCAGGGCGUGGCUCAAUCCAACUAUACCUUAUGAAAGCUUGGAAUAAAUUCUUUGAGUGAUGAUUUAAUACAAAUUUAUAUUAACAUAUUUAAUAAAGUGUUGUUUUACCUUAGAACUAAAUUACCGACUAACUA
This is a long non-coding RNA of Contarinia nasturtii (swede midge), 507 nucleotides long. RefSeq lists it as uncharacterized. NCBI's taxonomy places the organism in Eukaryota, Metazoa, Arthropoda, Insecta, Diptera, Cecidomyiidae. The record is from RefSeq and is a predicted model, not a curated record. The transcript has 3 exons.